RNAcentral lists this long non-coding RNA (827 nucleotides) under Suricata suricatta (meerkat). RNAcentral describes it as "lncRNA (ENSSSUG00005016646.1)". The record is from RNAcentral. Lineage: Eukaryota; Metazoa; Chordata; Mammalia; Carnivora; Herpestidae.
AACACGAGUACUCCAUGGGACACAGUUUGGGAAACACUGGCUCACUGAACAAGACCUCAUUUUAACAAAGAACAAUGCAGGAGUGUCAUUUGGCUGGCUAAAUGUGCCCUAGUACCGCCCAUGUGGCUUCUGGAAAUUGAAAGAAGAGAACCAGAGACCAGUUUGAGGAGCAGCUUUAUGUGGGCUGUCUGUUCCCAGAAUGGGUAGAUUGGGCAAUACGGAGAUGGCAUGGACACGUGCCAGACUUGGACGUGGACGCCGUAGGCAACAGCGAGGUCUUUGCAGAGGCCCGGGCCCAUUCGGAGCACCUGCUCGCAGGCAGGUAAGGUAAUGACAACCAACGGGGAUUGGCUGGGGCAGCGGCCAGGGUGCGGACUGCAGGGACAAGACGGAAGGGAGGGAUGGGGUACACAGCCGGCAACCUGCCCCGAGCAGCCCCCCUGUCGCUCCCCCAGCCAAUCCACGUAGCCGGUGGGCGUUGCCGCCUCCCCCCAGCCCCUCCGCCCACUCCCAGUCGUAAGGACACCACCCGUCUCCCAUCUGGAUUCACUCAGCGGCUUCCUCACCGCCUCCGCCCCCCUGCGAGCUCUUCCCAGCAUGGCCCUGACCCAGAUGCUUCCAAAACGUCCCUCUCUGCUUCUCUGCUUCCGUGUCAUUCACGGCGACAGAGCACCUCCCACCCACGUGCAGAUGGUGGCCUCUGGGGAGUGGAAUCAAGUGUGCAAUGACAGCGGCCGGGACCUGGGAGUGCUGCUUUUGCGAGUAAGUCUUGCAGGGUUAAUGGACUUGUAAAUUAUGUGAGUGUAAACCUUUCAUUCGCUUGUUUG